UAAGAGGUCCCGCCUGCCCUGUGACUAUAUGUUUAACGGCCGCGGUAUUUUGACCGUGCGAAGGUAGCGCAAUCAUUUGUCUCUUAAAUGGAGACCUGUAUGAAUGGCACAACGAGGGCUUAACUGUCUCCUCUUUUAAGUCAAUGAAAUUGAUCCCCCCGUGCAGAAGCGGGGAUAACCACAUAAGACGAGAAGACCCUAUGAAGCUUCAGACACCAGCGCCGAUCAUGUUAAACACCCUCCCACAAGAGCCUGAACCAAAUGAACCCUGCCCUAAUGUCUUUGGUUGGGGCGACCGCGGGGAAAUAAAAAACCCCCACGUGGAAUGGGAGCACCCCCUCCUAAAACCAAGAGCAACAGCUCUAAUAAACAGAAUCUUCUGACCCAUAGAUCCGGCCCUGCCGAUCAACGAACCGAGUUACUCUAGGGAUAACAGCGCAAUCCCCUUUUAGAGCCCAUAUCGACAAGGGGGUUUACGACCUCGAUGUUGGAUCAGGACAUCCUAAUGGUGCAGCCGCUAUUAAGGGUUCGUUUGUUCAACG
RNAcentral lists this ribosomal RNA (542 nucleotides) under Bembrops heterurus (squaretail duckbill). RNAcentral's name for it is "partial 16S large subunit ribosomal RNA". It matches the Rfam family "Bacterial large subunit ribosomal RNA", at positions 1846 to 2586 of the family's 2925-position model. Lineage: Eukaryota; Metazoa; Chordata; Actinopteri; Perciformes. The record is from RNAcentral.